This is a microRNA precursor of Medicago truncatula (barrel medic), 89 nucleotides long. It matches the Rfam family "MIR2617 microRNA precursor family". The record is from Rfam. NCBI's taxonomy places the organism in Eukaryota, Viridiplantae, Streptophyta, Magnoliopsida, Fabales, Fabaceae.
AUGUAGUGUGACAUGCCCGUUUGGGAUUUACUUUGAUGUAUGUUUAAUUAUUAUUUAAUUGCUUUUGGGUAACGGGGUGUUACACUAAG